AUAAACAGUAAAUAGUGCAUUUUGAUUCCUUAUUACUAUUGUUUUUAACAUAAUUUGCUUCAUUAGACAUUUAUAUAAUUUAAUGUUAAAUAAUGACUAUUCAUGAAAAGUUAAUGGUUGGCUCUUGCUGGCUGCUGAAAAUGGGUACGAGGACAUGACUACUCAGUGGGGAAAAUAUUAGAAAAAUUUUCCUUAAAAUCGGGAAGAAGACCCAGUGGCUUGGGAGGCUGAGUCAGGAGGAUCACAAUUCAAAGCCAGCCUCAGCAACUUCUCAAAUGUCUGAGCAACUUAGUGAAACACUGUCUCAAAAAGGAAAAAGGCUGAUAAAGACUUUGGCUGUGACUCAGUGGUUCAGCACCCCUGGGUUUAAACCCAUACACACACACACACACACACACACACACACACUCACACAUAUCUAUUGUAAUAGGACCCAUUUAAAAUUAGAAGCCCCAAGUACCAUUUAAGUACUAUUUUUCCUUCAUAUUAUUUAUUUUCUGGUAAAACUAUUUUCUCUGUCCCAGAUUCCUAGAAGUCAUCAUCUCAUGCAGAGAAUGGAAGCUAAAAUUGCUGUCCUCCAAAGUUGUGGUGUCCACAAAGGCAGAAAUGAAAUCAUGACACUUCCCUGGCCUGGCCCAGCAUGGCCGACUCUACAUGUGCAUAUUUCCUGGCUCUUUCUUUUCCUAUAAAUCGUUACAUUUCUAUAAAGCAUCAAAGGCAGAUUAGCUGUUUUCCCGGAUUUGGCCAAACUGUGAUUCGUUUUCUGUGGGAGACCAACCUCGACGUGACUGACUUAACUCCUCUGCUGGGCGAUGUGGCAUCAGGCACCCAUGCUGCUAGACUACCCCACUCUUCUAGGGUUCAAGUGACUGUGUCUUCCUACAGCUUCAAGGGUGAAGCUAUGCUCACCUGUUCCUUUGUAAUAUAAUCCCUUACCCAGUUUAGGAUAGAAUGUUCCAUGGAAGUGCCUGUGUUUGUCCCCUUCUCUUACUGUGUCCUUAGGUGUGGCCUACCCAGAUGUCAAUCAACCUGCUGACAGUGGACAUCAUGAAGAUAGACUCAGCCCCCUGAAACCUGACCCCUUGCCUCAUUUGAAUAGCUUCUCCUCAAUAAAAGGUGUAAGCACAUUCUCUCUCUCUCUCUCUCUCUCUCUCUCUCUCUCUCUCUCUCUCUCCCUCCCUAUGGACCUUUGAGGUCAGAGGAGCCGUCACAGCAACCCCAAAGAAAAAGGAAUCUGUGUCUCUUGUGUGUUAUUUUGCGCAGACCAGUCAGCCCAGUUUACCUGGAGUGACUCCUGAGCUUUUUAGUCGCAAACAGAAACCUGGCAGUUGUACCUUUUUAUGUAAUUUCCUCCUAACUAUGAUGUGGGUGAGCAACUGAAUCCAGCUCACCUGGACCCUGGCGGCCUCUGGCCUGGGUAACAUUCUCAGUACCCAGGAGCAAUUUCACUGGAGUAGCACUUUUCAUUUCCUAUAGGAAGCUGUCCUCUGCAUUUCCAGCUUGGCUGCUUGGCAUGGCUUUUGGCCUGUCUUGACUUUCCACAUGCCUUCUGCGUUGAGCUUGACCAUGUGUAGCUUUUGAUUUAAAAAUGAGAGACUAGGAACUCUUCCUUUUACUUAAACACUGUGAGGUAAUUGUAUAGAUUCUAAUUGCCCUAAUUUUUUAAGCAAAUGAUACCAUAUUUUAUUUGUAAAAUGAGAAUAAUAUUUGUAAAGCAAUUGGCACAUAUCUGGAAUAUGGCAGGUUCCUAAUAAAUAGAAUGUAUUGCUAAGAUUAUGGCCAGAAUUAUCAGCGCCUUCAUGCUAACAGGUUUCUACCUCAGAGGAUAAAGAGGCCUAAGGACAGGGAAAGGUGAAGAACACCAGUCCGUGGGGACUCAGAACACAGAUGGCGCUUACUAAGUUCACCAUCUCAUGAGUGCAGCUUGUUAUGCCCCAAACAACUACAAAAGUCACAUCAAAGAUCACAGAUCAUCAUAAUAUAUGGGAUCAUAAUGAGAAAGCUUGAAAUAUUGCAAGAAUUGCCAAAAUGUAACAGAGAGACCCAGGAAGGAAACACUCGCUGCUGGAAUAACGUGCCUACAGAAUUUUCAGCAAGGGGUUGCUACAAACCUUCAAUUUGUAUAAAAAUAAAUGUCUUUUUUCAAAGUGUAUUAAAGCAAAGUACAGUGAAGCAAGGCAUGCUUUCAUUGUCCUCAGGACUCCGGGCCAUUUUCUGAUUUGGUCGGCCUGAAUGCCCCAACUCAGCCCCAGUUAACUCCAUGUGUAUGUUCAGCAUGGAGCCUUAAUAAACCAAGGGGCUUCCUAAGUUCAUAAGUGGCUGAUUAAAAAAAAAGGCACAAUUGGUCAGAUCUUCUAGGACAUGUGCCUUCUCUGCCAUAAUUGUUCAUCUGUUAAUCAGUUGACUUUUCUUCAACAACAUUUCAAAUGAGGACAUUUACUUUGCACAAUAAAUGAGCUUGGAUGUCCUAAGAUACUGUGUUCUUUGGUAUGAGGAGUUGAAGGCUUUCCCAUAACUUAAGGUGUAUUCCUAAAUUUCACUCACCUAAGAAGCCUCUUCCUUUUGGAAUAGAGUCCAUAAUUUUGAAUAUGUAUUCAAUUUGUUUGGUUGUUUUCAGAUGUAAAAUGCAGUUCAGCUGUGGAUGAAGUCACUCCUCAAGGAAAAAAUAUCAAUGUGAAACAGAAUACCAAUUAAAAAACAUAAUUUAGAAAAAAAGUAUCUGAACAAAUAAACUUUUAGCGAUGGGUCCUGCAGACCCAAACCCCUUUGCUGAAGAGUGUGAUCAGGCAGGUGUCAGUUUUGGAAUUUCUGAGCAUUUAGAAAUGUAUUUCAUGUACUAAUUAAUAUCUCAAAGGCAAGCACAUAGCAAAGCAUAGGAAUACUUACCCAAGUGACAGGAAUAAAGGCCAUUCAUAGCCUCAUGCCCCUUUUUGAUAAGGAGUUAUGAUCCAUCUUUUUCUCAUAGAUUUUGGAAUUGUAGAGGAGAGAUUUUUGGCAUUUGGUAGUAGAUGAAGUUAGCAUAGAGUACAGUUAGGACCAGAGGAAAAAAUUAGGACAGGGAACGUAUCCAAGAUACUUUGAGGCUGGAUAAUGGAUAUUUAAUUUGACCUUAUUUUAAAAUAUGUAAAAGUUCAUAUCCUAGAGAGGAAGUCUCCCUCUUGGGAUACAGGUUAGGGCAACAAGGCUUUGAGCCAGGGACCAGCAGCCAAUCAGUGGGGUUGACCCCACCCCGACAACCCUGAGCAGGUGCUCAGAUAGUAUCUUAAGGUCUGCAGAAAAUGUUUGGUAGGAUGUAAAUGAGAUGCAGGAACAAAAUGACAAUCAGGAUGUGUAAAUAUGGAAUGGCAUGCAGAGUGGCCCCACAGAUGUCCAUCCCUAAUGUGUGGCACCUGUGAAUAGGUGACAACCACAGAAAAAGGGACUUUUUACACUUGAGUGAGGUUAGGAAGGUGACCCUGGAUGACCAUGUUGAUCUAGCCUAAGCAUGUGAGCCCUUCAAAGCAGAAAACUUUCUCUACCUCUUAGCAGAAGAAGACAAGGAGAUACAGCAGGAGGACCCAAGAUCCGUACCAUUCAAGAGUCUCCACCCAUCACUUGCGGAGGGGCCUCUAGGAAAAGAGAAGGAAUAAGGGGAAACAUCUAGCAGCUGAGAGACCUGCCAAGCCCCUGACAGCCAUCAGACCUACAACAGCAAGGAUCGACCAAUAUCCAGUCACCCACGUGAGCAUGCUAGGGACGGCAGAGCAGGAGAGCAGGUCACCUGCUGGCAUUUGAAUCCACUCCCACACCCUGAGGAUGAGGGUGGCUGGCUGGUCCUGAACAGUUUGUACAAACAGAGGGGUUGACACUCAACACCUGCUUUCCUUCUGGAACUCCAUUUUUGUGCUGGCAACUGAACCCAGAACCUCAAACAUGUGAAGCAAAUGCACCAGGGCUAAACUCUGUCCCCACCAUUUUAUUCAUUGUGUGUGGUUAUUUUUUUUUUUCUUUUUCAGAACGGGGGAUUGAACUCAGGGGCCCUCGACCACUGAGCCACAUCCCCAGCUCUUUUUUUUUUUUUUUUUGUAUUUUAUUUAGAGAUGGGGUCUCACUGAGUUGCUUAGCACCUCACUUUUGCAGAGGCUGGCUUUACAUUCAAAAUCCUCCUGCCUCAGCCUCCCAAGCUGCUGGGAUUUCAUGCGUGCACCACCGCACCUGGAAUGUUAUUCAUUCUUAAUCAACAUUUAUCUCAACCCUGGCAAGGACUUGGUUUUCUUUGAACUAGCUCAACAUUAAUAUCUACUUCUGAUCUUAUAUCUGGCACCUGCUUCUUUGAGGCCAGACCUAAAAAUUCUUACAAAUUCCAUUCUGUUUUGCUAUUUUGGUUAUUGUUAGAGAAUGAGUUCUUGAUACAAUUAACACCAACAUUUAUUGAUGAACUAAUAAGAGCUUCAGAGAUUUAGAAAAAAAAAUAGACCUCAGUCUGUUUGUUUAUAAUAAGUAACAGAGUUCUAACAAAAUUCUACUGAGGACAAUUUAUUACUCCUGAUAAUGAUCAUUCUGUGGCCUCAAGCCUUAUUGGUAAGCAAUAUGUUAAGAAGAAGUGGCUUUUAAGCUAACACCCUUCCUCUUACCAUGGAAAUUGAGGAAAAAGAAAAAGGUAUCCAAUAUCCUUAGCCUGAAUUAAAUGAAGCUAAACUGUGCACCUUGUUAUUGUGGUAAAAUAUACAUUAGCACAAACUUUUCCCACUUUAGCUGAUUUUGAUUUUAAGUCUCCAGUUCUGCUGCACUGAGUCCAUCCACCCUGCUGUGCAGCUGUCUCCUCCACCCAGAGGAGAACUGUUUCAUCUUCCUAAACUCCUCUGUUAAUUCAGAGGAGUAUCCACUGAACACUAGCUGCCCCUUCUCCCCUCACCCACCCCCUGGCAACCAUCUACACUAUAUUUUCAAUAAAAAAUCAAUUUCUUCUCC
Long non-coding RNA from Marmota monax (woodchuck), 4950 nucleotides. RefSeq lists it as uncharacterized. NCBI's taxonomy places the organism in Eukaryota, Metazoa, Chordata, Mammalia, Rodentia, Sciuridae. The transcript has 2 exons. The record is from RefSeq and is a predicted model, not a curated record.